Molecule: transfer RNA, 74 nt
Filed under: Pseudobryopsis hainanensis
Lineage: Eukaryota; Viridiplantae; Chlorophyta; Ulvophyceae; Bryopsidales; Pseudobryopsidaceae
Description: tRNA-Met
Rfam family: tRNA
About the family: Transfer RNA (tRNA) molecules are approximately 80 nucleotides in length. Their secondary structure includes four short double-helical elements and three loops (D, anti-codon, and T loops).
Source: RNAcentral
GCCUACUUAGCUCAGGUGGUUAGAGCAUCCGUCUCAUACGCGGAGAGUCACUAGUUCGAAUCUAGUAGUAGGCA